UUAAAAAGCUCGUAGUUGGAUUUCUGCGGGGGCGGGGCGGCCGGAUGCUUAUAGCAUCUCGAGCUAGCACUUCCCCCGCAUCCCGCCGCGAACCGUGCUACCAUUAGUUUGGUGGCGCUGGGGAUCGGCUCGUUUACUUUGAGAAAAAUAGAGUGUUCAAAGCAGGCCACACGCCUUGAAUAAGUUAGCAUGGAAUAAUGAUAAAGGACUUCGGUUCUAUUUUGUUGGUGUUCGGGACUGAAGUAAUGAUUGAUAGGGACAGUUGGGGCGGUCAGUAUUCCAAAGCGAGAGGUGAAAUUCUUAGACCUUCGGAAGACUAACAGCUGCGAAAGCGUUCCGCAAGGAUGUUCCCUUUGAUCAAGAACGAAAGUUGGGGGAUCGAAGACGAUC
RNAcentral lists this ribosomal RNA (390 nucleotides) under uncultured marine eukaryote. Its description in RNAcentral is "bacterial SSU rRNA". It matches the Rfam family "Eukaryotic small subunit ribosomal RNA", at positions 619 to 1009 of the family's 1831-position model. The record is from RNAcentral.